CCGAGUACAAAGUCUCAGGCGAUAAAAAUUAGUGUAGUUGUUUUGGUAACUGCUCCCUCUUUAGUUAUUUAACAAGUGACAUAAAGAUGUUUUUAAGUCUUGUUUCAGUAUCGUCGUGUUGUCCAUCCUGAUGAACGAAACAACUGUGAUAUUGUCAGACCUUAACUUUAAACUGAGCCACAAACCCGCAUGAUAACUCUCAGCAUUCGUCAUUGUAAUCCUAUUAUUUUCUAAUGGAGGCCUAAUCAACAAGUGAGAGGGGAUGUUUGUUUAAGAAGUUUAUCAUUUAUCAAAAGAAAGUGGAAUAAUUGAUGAAACAAUUCAUGGACAAUAAGGGAACAAUAUCACUAUCAAAGUCGACGCCAGCAUUCAACAUUGAAGAUAGUACAGGAAUUAAUAGUCGUAGACCGUCUUCGUGGGCAGGGAACAGUGAACUAGAUGCAGCCCCAUCAAGGAGACCAUCAGGAAAACGUUUAAAAGUAAAUUCUGCCAUGUGUACCUGUGGGAAAAGAAGACAUGAUGAAGAGAAAUAUGACACUAGUGACACCUGUACAGGUGAUGAGGAACUCGGAAAGAACAGUAGAUCACCUGAACUCUUUCAGAAAACAUCAUUUUAUUUUAGCUGUUUAAGAAGAAAAAAAACGUCAGAUGAUAAAAAAUAAAGGAAUUAAGUGGGUAAUGUUGUUUUGACGUCUGUAUUUAUUUCAUGUUUGUCGUGAUUUCUGAAAUAUAAAAGUAGUUACGAAGAAACUGUUUAAAUGGCAUUGAAAUUCAUUUAGUUUGCAAAAUUGUGAUUAUUGUAUAGUUUUUUUAGUAAACCACUGAAACAACAUUCAUUAAGAUACAAAUUGUGUGAAUAGCUUUAAUUUGAAUCUAGCUGUAGUAACCAAAAGUCCAAUAAAGUUACAGAAAGUAAUAUAAUGGGAAAAUUACCUUUUAAAUGUCAAUUAUAUGAAAACUAGAAACAUUGUAAAAAAUACUAACUUCUUGUACUUUGUUAAAGACAAUUGUUUAGGUUCUGCUACGAAGUCACUAUUCAUCUGUGACGUUUAGCAAACCAGUUAAUUUACAAAACAUUAUUCUUCAAAAAACAAGUUAUUUGUUGGGAAUUUUAGGGUUAUCUACUCGUAACCAUCCCUAGUUUGAACUGACGACCAGAACUCACUGGCAACUCUCUUGGGAUACACUUGCAUGUUUGAAUAGUGGGAAUUAACCCUCUUAAAUGUGGAGCAUGUUUUUAUGGCAAUGGGACACGAACCAUGAACUCUCUGAUUUACAACUAAACAUUAGGUCGUGCCUGGACCAAAACAGACUGAUUGCCCCAUUAAUGAAAUACCCUGGAUUUUUCAAACGUAUCAAUAAAUUCCCAAUUUUAAAUUACUAGAACACACUGGAAUAAUAAUAGUUAGAAAUGUAUCCCAACAUUUACUCAGUGACAA
Molecule: RNA transcript, 1439 nt
Organism: Limulus polyphemus (Atlantic horseshoe crab)
Lineage: Eukaryota; Metazoa; Arthropoda; Merostomata; Xiphosura; Limulidae
Exons: 5
Source: RefSeq, a predicted model, not a curated record